GUCUGCAAGUUCAGCAUUUCAGUGCUUUAACACACUUCGCCACCAGGGCUCCUUAAUAGUUGUUUAGCACUCUCCAAAUAUCUACACUCUCCAAGAUGAAGCUCUAAGCUGCAGAAGAAAGGCCUGCAAAUUAUUAUUGAGAAACCUGAUUCAGCUGCAAAAGUUGGCCACAGCCCAAGAAAAAGGAGCAGGAUGGGAGGAGGAAGGGAUCAGAAACAAAGAAAGUUAACUUUCAUAAAGUCACCUUACAGGAAGCGUUCAGUGGUGCUGAGAGAGGACGUACAAACUUUUCUCCUUGGCUGCUGUAAGGGCAAAGUAGGUUACUGCACUUGACUCGCCCUCCAGAGAAAUGGUAUUUGUUGUAAACACAUUCCGGGAAAGUAAAGCCUAGUUUACAUAUUACCUGAAAAUUUUGAGUAUCAGGAACACACAGUGACUCAGUGGCAUGAAACAUGAGCUGCAUGCUGAAGGGCCCUUGGUUUUAUUGUUCUUUUGAUCUUGUUUAAUGUAGUGUAUAUUUUCUUUUAUUGUGUUGUUUAAUGUGCUAUGAUUUGUUGUUCUAUUAUAUUUUGUUAUAUUGCAUUGUUCUGGGCAUGGCCCCAUGUAAGCCGCCCCGAGUCCCCGUUGGGGAGAUGGUGGCGGGGUAUAAAUAAAGUUUAUUAUUAUUAAGUUUAUUAUAAGGACCAGGCUAAAUUUUGGCUCCUUCAGGCAGGGUUGGAGGGGCCAAACUCCUGUUUAAAACCUCAGAAAAUCUACCAGGCAGCAGGCUGAGAGAAGGCAAUUUUCGGCCCAUUAAGGCUUCUGGACUUUGUGUUGUCGAAGGCUUUCAUGGCUGGGAUCACAGGGUUGUUGUAUGUCUUUCGGGCUGUGUGGUCAUGUUCCAGAAGUAUUCUCUCCUGACAUUUCACCCACAUCUAUGGCAGGCAUCCUCAGAGUUAAAAAACUCUAAAAUCAAAACAGUAGAUGGGAACCAACACUCUGAGGGCAGAGGAGCCCCAAGGACGGCUAAUGACUGAACAAAGGAUGCCCCCCAGGCAAGAGACAAAACCUUUCCAAUGCUAAUUAGGGUGAUUAACUGAAACAUUAAUGCUGGCUUCCCAGUGACAAAGGACUCUUGCCACACCCUGGACUCUCCACAGAUAUAUAUAUAUUUCCUUUCCUUGCCUAGUUUAUCCAUACCUCACAACCUCUGAGGAUGCCUGCCAUAGAUGUGGGUGAAACGUCAGGAGAGAAUACUUCUGGAACAUGGCCACACAGCCCGAAAGACAUACAACAACUUCUGGACUUUAGUGAAGUUAUUAUUGUUCAUUUAUUUCCCACUUUUUCUCCAACAUUGAAACACAAGGUGACUUUCAAAUUAAUAUGCAGAAACUGCAGUCUAAACAGCAAUAAUAUUUCUUACCUCACUUCUCAAUAUCUGAGACCUUGUGUUGUGGAAGGCUUUCAUGGCCGGAAUCACUGGGUUGCUGUGAGUUUUCUGGGCUCACAACCUCUGAGGAUGCCUGCCAUCUCUCUCUCAGUCGCAUAGUUGUUUCCGACUCUUUGUGACCUCAUGGACCAGUCCACGCCAGAGCUCCCUGUCGGCCAUCGCCACCCCCAGUUCCUUCAAGGUCGAGCUAGUCACUUCAAGGAUACCAUUCACCCAUCUUGCCCUUGGUCGGCCUCUCUUCCUUUUUCCUUCCAUUUUCCCCAGCAUCAUGACCUUUUCCAAGCUUUCCUGUCUUCUCAUGAUGUGGCCAAAAUACUUCAUCUUUGCCUCAAAUAUCCUUCCCUCCAGUGAGCAACCGGGCAUUAUUUCCUGGAGGAUGGACUGGUUGGAUCUUCUUGCGGUCCAAGGCACUCUCAGGAUUUUCCUCCAGCACCAAAGUUCAAAAGCAUCUAUCUUCCUUCGCUCAGCCUUCCUUAUGGUCCAGCUCUCGCAACCAUAGGUUACUACGGGGAAUACUAUUGCUUUGACUAUGCGGACCUUCAUUGCCAGUGUGAUGUCUCUGCUCUUCACUAUUUUGUCAAGGUUGGCCAUUGCUCUCCUCCCAAGAAGUAAACGUCUUCUGAUUUCCUGGCUGCAGUCUGCAUCUGCAGUGAUCUUCGCACCUAGAAAUAUAAAGUCUGUCACUGCCUCCACGUUUUCUCCCUCUAUUUGCCAGUUAUCAAUAGGUGUAGUUACCAUGAUCUUGGUUUUCUCGAUGUUUAAAAGCAACCAAGCUUUUGCACUUUCUUCUUUCACCUUGGUGAUAAGGCUCCUCAGCUCUUCCUCACUUUUGGCCAUCAGAGUGGUAUCAUCUGCAUACCUAAGGUUGUUAAUGUUUCUUCCAGCAAAAAAGCAGGCAAAUGUCAGGAAAGAAUACUUCUGGAACAUGGCCAUACAGCCCGGAAAAUUCACAGCAACCCUUCUGAGACCUUGUUUAUAUUUCUGCUAACAACAUGUAGUUAUAUUCUUACUAUUGACCUCUCUUCAAUUGAGCCAUCUUAUCAGCUGCUAGGAUUGUGGGAGCUGAAGCCCAAAACAUCUGGAGAAGCACAGUUUGAGAAACUCUGAUCUAAACUAUAAACUGGAAUGAUAUGGGCUACAAGGUGGCAACUUAGCACUGUGUGCCUGUGCUCAGUUGUUUUGGCUACAGUAAAAGGCUCCUUUCUAUAAUCUAAGGUUGAGGAACUGGAAGAUUCAGUGGCAACAUUUCCAAUACUUUGAAAGGUUGCCCUAACACCUACAAAAAUAGUUUUGCCCCUGAAUGCCCCUGAGAGGAUGCAGAGAACAUUUUGCCACCUUUAAAGCUCAUCAUGGAACAUUUUAGGUACAGAAGAGGUCUUUUUAAUAGCAGGAAGUGAAUGAAAAUAACUUUUGGUUCACGACAUAUUUUUAAAGAAAGCCAUAGUGACUGCUGUGCAAAACUGUGGUGAAAAUGCCCCCAUGUCCCUUUAGAGGGCAUGGAGAGAUAUUUAAAGUGCGUUGUGAGAAUGCGGAGGAGUUUUUGUCUUUAGUUAACUUAUGGAAGUACAGAUCACAGCUAUCCUGGUUUGUGCUUUGUGAUAUUGACAAAAUGAAAGAGGACACAAUUUCUAUGAAAUCUACUUAGCUUCACAGCUUUAUUUGUUUCGUGUCAAAACACUGCAGAAAUAAUUAUAGAGAGAGCACAAUAAUUUUAGACCAAAAGCGGGCAACAGCAACCACAUUGUCUGUAGCUUUAAACAAUUCUUCCUCUGUGAAUGAGGCAGGGCAUUGUGGGCAAGCAUACAGAUGCUGAGUUGUUUGUUGUGCUCCACAGUCGCACAUGAUGGAGGAUUCUUCUAGGUAGUGCCAUUUUGCCAGGUUGUCUUUUGAUCUGUCCAUUCCACUUCUGAGUCUGUUUCGGGACUUCCAAGUUCCCCAUUCUUGGCUUGCCUCUGGAGAAAGACCCUCAUGGGGACCAACCAUUUGGGAUUUCCCAGUUUAGCUGCACAGAGGGAUACUCUUGCUGUUGCUGGGGGAACGUCAAGAGGAGUGGUGGUUCUCAUGAAGGUUUUUCUUGAUUUGAGUCUACUGGGAGGAGGCCGACAGCUAUGCACUGGGUGGCUUUCACAGUGUUCAACUUUAUUUCUCUCCCAGUUAGCGGGAACUUCCCAUCACAGCUCAAGCAUGCUUCACAGCUCGAGCAUGUUCAAAAAUAACUUGAAAAAAAUGGGUUGGGGGGGGCUAAAACUCCCAGAAAACUCAAUUAUCUAUACAUUGUAGCCCAAAAAUAUUCAAAAGGAAAGUAAUAGGUUAAGGCAGGGGUCCCCAAACUAAGGCCCGUGGGCCGGAAGCGGCCCUCCAAGGUCACUAACCUGCCCCCUAUCCUAAACUUUAGACUUAGGGUUGACCUAAGUCUACUUGGUCUUUGGAGGUCUCUUUGCUUACCUCUGGUCUUAUGAGACCAUCUAGAUGGUCUUUGGCAGUCUCUUUGCUUACUUAUGGUAUUAUGAAACCAUCUAGAUGGCUUUUGAGGGUCCCUUUCCUUACCGAUGGUCUUAUGAAACCAUUUAAAUGGUCUUUGAGGUCCCUUUCCUUAUCUAUGGUCUUCUGAUGGCCUGAUGAGAUCAUCUAGAUGGCCUUUGAGGGUCCCUUUUCUUACCGAUGGUCUUAUAUAACCAUCUAGAUGGUCUUUGAGGUCCCUUUCCUUGUCUAUGGUCUUCUGAUGGCCCGAUGAGGUUAUCUAAAUGGACUUUGAGGGUCCCUUUCCUUACCGAUGGUCUUAUGAAACCAUCUAGAUUCCCUUUGAGGGUCCCUUUCCUUACCGAUGGUCUUAUGAGAUCGUCUAGAUGGUCUUUGAAGGUCUCUUUGCUUAGCUAUGGCCUUAUGAGACCAUCUAGAUGGCUUUUGGAGGUCAGUUUCCUUACUAAUGGUCAUAUUAGACAAAAAUGUGUCGGAUAAUCCAGAAUGUUGGAUAAGCGAGUAUUGGAUAAGUGAGACUUUACUGUAUUUGAAUCUUCUCCCUGCUUCAAGAAGCUGUCCUCUCCCAUAGUUGCCCAAGCAUCCUACAAGGCAACGAGGGUGUGUGUGUGUGUAUGUUGAAAUCUGAAAUGUACAAUUGAAUCAAUCCUUCAGAAUUAAAGCAUGACCAAGCCAUGUCUGCGCAUCUUCUUGAAACGCUAUGACAGAAGUUAUAGAAAGCACCCAGGAUAAUUUAAAGGAGUGUGCUGAUUAUAUGUGGCCUAAAGCAAGCAAGCCCUGAAAUGGCAGAGAAAGAUGGAAUGCUUAUGACAGCAAAGCUGUGUUUGCCUAAUUUGGCAAAUAGACGGCCCCUUUUGGAUGCAGUUUGUCAUUAGUGACAUCAAAAAGGGCCUGCAGUAACAGUGAAUGAUUCAUUUCUGCCUCCCCUCAACAGGCAUUUCUCUGGCUCAGCACCUUCCAUGAACCUAAUUAUUCAUCAGCUGUAAUCAUGGAUUGCAAGAGGCACCAUUUGUGUGGUUGACUUUCAUUGUUCGUAUCUUCUCACAAGGCCCUCUUUGGCUGUUUCUGGAGGAUGUGCCAGAUAGUUAUGUAGUUUUUGUUUUUGUUUUGAACUUUUUCCAAAUAGAAGAAAAACUCAUUAGACAAAUAAUGAUGACCAUUUUCACCAAGCAGAAUGUUUAGCGCUUGGGGCUUUCUGCAAGGGCUCCCUUGAACUCAAGCAUUGGGAAACAAAUCUCUAAUGGAAAGUGGGAUCAAAGAGGAUGGAGGUUAAGUGUCAUACUCAGAAAGGGGAUGACUUUCGACUUCCCCAACCCAAGAACAGAAAGCAUUAGUUUAGAAGGAUGCUUUACGGAAUGAAAACAGAAGACCUCAACCUAUUUAGUACUGUUACCAUAUCUAGAGAUAUUAGAAGACAAUGUUGAUGUAAGUUAAUAAUUUUUAAUCUUAUUUAUAGUGUAUUGUAUAAUUUUUAUAUGUGUGUUUAUUGUAAGCCGCCCUGAGUCCCCUGUUGGGUGAGAAGGACAGGAUAUAAAUGUUGUAAUAAAUACAUAAAUAAACAAUAGAUCCUGAUUGAUAAGUAUGUCUAAAUUAUGCCUUAAUGUAAAUAUUUCAGCAGGAAAAGUAUAACUAAAGCAAGAAUGGUGAAAAGAAAACAGAUGAAUAAGAAGAAAGAAGUGAGAAGCAUAUUGUAGCUGUUAGCUUCCUGUAUCAGGUAUCAAGUUUAUUGCUUGGACGAGACAAUUCUGCUUCUUCACUUAGUGCCGCAUAUGAGCCAACAUGAACUAUGGCAGCCCCGUUGAAGAACACUGCAAGCCCUAAAGCAAAUCAAGCCGGGUAAGAUGUAAUUUUGUUAACUGUCUCACAUUUUGAACGGAUGGAAGUUACAAGAGUGUCUGACCUUUACAAAAAGUGUUAUUCCAUUCUGCCUUCUUGGUUUAAGAACAAAGGGUGCCGAAAGUAGGAAAGUCCUUGACAGAAUCAGCCAGAAAAUCAUCAUGAUAUUCCAAAUGAAUGCAUAGGAGUUAGUGGAAUCUGCAAGAUAAAACCUGCUAAGAGAUUACUGCAUUACUAUCCUAUUCAUGCAUAAUUGCUAAUACAUCCCACUGAUAACCACAAUUAAAAGCUAACAAUGUUUAGUAAAGCGGAAGGCAAUUGGACACAAGGAAGAUCAUAUUUCAGGUGGAUAGACUCAAUUCACAGUUCAGGGUUUGCAGGACUUAAGAAUAACUAUUGAUAGCAGGCUGUCUUAGAAGUGUCUAUAAAAUUGCUAUAUGUCAAAGUCAAUAUGUUGGCCCUUAGCAACAACAUACCACUGAAGUCAGCAUAAAUAUAGGUUAUGUUGGGCUGAAAGAAUGGAAGCAAUGCUGUUUUGAAUGGGGAAUAUAAUCAGGUGAUACUAUUUACAUCCUAUGUAAAUAAUGAAGCUUAAAAUAAUGUAGAAUCUAAUUGAUUGGUUUCUCUGAAUUGUCUAUUUAUGACAGUGAUGUAGCAGCCUUCCUUAUCAUUAACUGUAACAUGUAUGAUCUCUUUUCAUUCUCGAUGAUAAUAUACCUGAAUUGUUGGACAGAAUUUGAGGUGGAAUCACCAUUUAUUUUGUUAAUAUUCCUUAGAAGUAGAUUCUAGAAUGAUGUUGUCAUCUUUUGUGCUUAGAAGUUCCUGUAAAGUAAUGGCAAAUGGAUGGUAAAGCUGCAUCUAUGACAGUGAUGGCCAACCUAUGACAUGCGUGUCAGCACUGACACGCCUAGCCAUUUUUGCUGACACGCUGCUGCAUGCAGAUUGAUUGGAUGACUAAUGUCUUUUGUGGCCAAAUUUGGUGUGAUUUGGUCCAGUGGUUUUAUUGUUUACUCC
This is a long non-coding RNA of Anolis carolinensis (green anole), 6757 nucleotides long. RefSeq lists it as uncharacterized. Lineage: Eukaryota; Metazoa; Chordata; Lepidosauria; Squamata; Anolidae. The transcript is spliced from 3 exons. The record is from RefSeq and is a predicted model, not a curated record.